ACUCCUACGGGAGGCAGCAGUGGGGAAUAUUGCACAAUGGGCGCAAGCCUGAUGCAGCCAUGCCCGCGUGUGUGAGAAGGCCUUCGGGUUGUAAGCACUUUCAGUCGUGAGGAAGGUAGUGUAGUUAAUAGCUGCAUUAUUUGACGUUAGCGACAGAAGAAGCACCGGCUAACUCCGUGCCAGCAGCCGCGGUAAUACGGAGGGUGCGAGCGUUAAUCGGAAUUACUGGGCGUAAAGCGCAUGCAGGUGGUUUGUUAAGUCAGAUGUGAAAGCCCGGGGCUCAACCUCGGAAUAGCAUUUGAAACUGGCAGACUAGAGUACUGUAGAGGGGGGUUAGAAUUUCAGGUGUAGCGGUGAAAUGCGUAGAGAUCUGAAGGAAUACCGGUGGCGAAGGCGGCCCCCUGGACAGAUACUGACACUCAGAUGCGAAAGCGUGGGGAGCAAACA
This 447-nucleotide ribosomal RNA is filed under the name uncultured bacterium. RNAcentral describes it as "bacterial SSU rRNA". It matches the Rfam family "Bacterial small subunit ribosomal RNA", at positions 335 to 774 of the family's 1533-position model. The record is from RNAcentral.